Molecule: ribosomal RNA, 460 nt
Filed under: uncultured bacterium
Lineage: Bacteria
Description: bacterial SSU rRNA
Rfam family: Bacterial small subunit ribosomal RNA
Source: RNAcentral
GAAAUGCAAGUCGAGCGAUGAAGGAGGCUUCGGGCCUCCCGAGUUAGCGGCGAACGGUCGCGUAACACGUAAGCAAUCUGGCCCCAAAGUUUGGGAUAGCCCGGCGAAAGUCGGAUUAAUACCGGAAUGUGGAUAUGUCCUCGCAUGUGGAUAUAUCUAAAGGCAGCGAUGCGCUUUGGGAUGAGCUUGCGGCCUAUCAGCUUGAUGGCGGGGUAACGGCCUGCCAUGGCGACGACGGGUAGCUGGUCUGAGGGGAUGGUCAGCCGGACUGGGACUGAGAUACGGCCCAGACUCCUACGGGGGGCAGCAAUUAAGAAUCUUGCGCAAUGGGGGCAACCCGUGACGCAAGCGACGUCGCGUGAAUGAUGAAGUCUCUCGGGAUGUAAAGUUCUUUUGUCAAGGAAGAGUAUUAGACGGUACUUGACGAAUAAGCCCCGGCUAACUACGUGCCAGCCGCUGC